UACGAAGGGGGCGAGCGUUGUUCGGAUUUACUGGGCGUAAAGGGCGCGCAGGCGGCAGAUCAAGUCAGACGUGAAAGCCCCGGGCUUAACCUGGGAACUGCGUUUGGGACUGAUUUGCUAGAGAUCGGGAGAGGAGAGUGGAAUUCCCAGUGUAGAGGUGAAAUUCGUAGAUAUUGGGAAGAACACCGGUGGCGAAGGCGGCGCUCUGGACCGAGACUGACGCUGAGGCGCGAAAGCGUGGGGAGCAAACAGG
This 253-nucleotide ribosomal RNA is filed under the name uncultured bacterium. RNAcentral's name for it is "partial 16S ribosomal RNA". It matches the Rfam family "Bacterial small subunit ribosomal RNA", at positions 524 to 776 of the family's 1533-position model. The record is from RNAcentral.